Molecule: long non-coding RNA, 1665 nt
Organism: Betta splendens (Siamese fighting fish)
Lineage: Eukaryota; Metazoa; Chordata; Actinopteri; Anabantiformes; Osphronemidae
Source: Ensembl
UAUAUAUAAACAUAAUAUAUAUAUAUAUAUUAUAUUAUAUAUAUAAUAUACAUUAUAUAUAUAAUAUAUAUAUAUAUAUAUAUAUACUAUAUAUAUAUAUAUAUAUAUAUAUAUAUAUAUCUAAUAUAUAUAUAUAUAUCUAUAUAUUAUAUUAUAUUAUAUAUAUAAUAUACAUUAUAUAUAUAAUAUAUAUAUAUUAUGUUUAUGUUUUUAUUAGUAUUACUGUACUAAUCGGUAAAGUCGCAAGACUUGUAUACAGGUGGUCCCCGGUUCGAAUCCCCGUUAGGGCAAAUAAGCAUCCAGUGUGGGUCCUUGGGCAAGACCCUUCAAGCUACCGCCUACCUCAUAUCAUGAGAGACAGUGAACCACAUGAGAUACCGGCUCAGACGUCGCCCGGUCUAACAAGGUCUGCGUCAGGUGUUGGGGAACCAGAGCACCUUGACGAGAAAUGGGCUACUGGAACAAGAAAGAAAUGGCUGAGAUGCGAGAACAAGGCUCUGUUGGAAUGCUACUACUCAAGUAACCCUAGUCAGAGGGGUUACAUGAAUAGAAUGUGUGGCGAAUGGGAACGGAGAAACCCACAUUCAAGACUGACGGCGAAGCAACUAGUAGCUCAGUGUUCCAACAUCCACAAACGGCAACUGCUAUCACAACUUGAGAUUGAAGAGAUACAACACAAAUGCUACGGCAAGGGGGAGCCAGGACGCCAGGUCAGAGGGGAGGUUUCACCAUCUCCCCAACCGGAAAUUGGGUACGAAGCCCCAAUAAGCACAGAUACGCUGAGCGAGGCAGCGACUGACCUGAAAGAUAAGAUCAUGGCGAGACUGAACAGGCAACCCCGAACCCCACUACAACGGCUAAGUGAAGUACCAUCAGAAAGUCUCAUGGAAGAUGUGAAUGCAGCAUUGAGAGUGAUCCCUACCACAACAAUCACAGAAACCAAUGAGCUGGUAUACGCUUCAGCAUCAGUGAUCCUAGAGGUGCUUGGCUAUAAGAGCAACCAUGGGAGCCAUGAGAAACAAUACCCACCAUGGAAACGAAGGUUGGAGGCAAAAAUCAAGGCAGCUCGGAGGGAAGUGAGCCAAAUGACAGAGGCCCAGAGAGGUGCAAUGAAAAGACCGAUGCCCAAGAGGUACAGCCAGAUGCCCAUACCCGAAGCACUCGAAACUGCCAAGCAAAGGCUACAAGCCUUGGCCAGCCGCCUAAAGAGAUACACCAGAGAUAACGAAGCCAGACGAAUAAACCGGCUGUUCACAACACAACCCGCGAAAGUGUACUCUCAAUGGCAGGGUAAUAACAACAGAGCAGACCCACCAAGGCUGGAAACUGAACAGUACUGGAAAGGGAUAUGGGAGAGGGAGGCAUCACACAACAGUGAUGCACAGUGGCUGGUGGAUCUGAGGGAAGACCACAGCAACCUCCCUGAACAGAACCCAGUGACUAUCACAUCCAACAAAGAGUCUCAGGUAUGAAAAACUGGACAGCACCUGGCCCUGACAUGAUCCACGCCUACUGGCUAAAGAAGCUCACUGCAAUCCACGAGCGCCUGGCAGCACAAAUGAACCAGCUGCUAAGGGAUGGGACUCACCCUGAAUGGCUAACCGAAGGGCGAACGAUCCUGAUAAUGAAGGAUCCCUCAAAGGGUGCAGUCCCACCCAACUACCG